CCACUCACCAGCACUCAGUCUUCUCUGCAUGGUCCUGACCUGCCCUCCAUGAGCCAGAGAAACAGGACUGUUUUGGGGAUGUCCCCUCCGAGUGGACAUGGAAGACCACGGUUAAAAAAAAAAAA
Vicugna pacos (alpaca) is the source of this 125-nucleotide small nucleolar RNA. The record is from Ensembl. NCBI's taxonomy places the organism in Eukaryota, Metazoa, Chordata, Mammalia, Artiodactyla, Camelidae.